Molecule: ribosomal RNA, 424 nt
Filed under: Arthrobacter sp.
Lineage: Bacteria; Bacillati; Actinomycetota; Actinomycetes; Micrococcales; Micrococcaceae
Description: bacterial SSU rRNA
Rfam family: Bacterial small subunit ribosomal RNA
Source: RNAcentral
UGGGGGGAUUAGUGGCGAACGGGUGAGUAACACGUGAGUAACCUGCCCUUGACUCUGGGAUAAGCCUGGGAAACCGGGUCUAAUACUGGAUACGACCUUCUGGCGCAUGCCAUGUUGGUGGAAAGCUUUUGUGGUUUUGGAUGGACUCGCGGCCUAUCAGCUUGUUGGUGGGGUAAUGGCCUACCAAGGCGACGACGGGUAGCCGGCCUGAGAGGGUGACCGGCCACACUGGGACUGAGACACGGCCCAGACUCCUACGGGAGGCAGCAGUGGGGAAUAUUGCACAAUGGGCGCAAGCCUGAUGCAGCGACGCCGCGUGAGGGAUGAAGGCCUUCGGGUUGUAAACCUCUUUCAGUAGGGAAGAAGCCGGCCCUUGGGUUGGUGACGGUACCUGCAGAAGAAGCGCCGGCUAACUACGUGCCAG